AUUGAACGCUGGCGGCAGGCUUAACACAUGCAAGUCGAGCGGUAACAGAGAGAAGCUUGCUUCUCUGCUGACGAGCGGCGGACGGGUGAGUAAUGCCUAGGAAUCUGCCUAGUAGUGGGGGAUAACUUGCCGAAAGGUAAGCUAAUACCGCAUACGUCCUACGGGAGAAAGGAGGGGACCUUCGGGCCUUUCGCUAUUAGAUGAGCCUAGGUCGGAUUAGUUAGUUGGUGCGGUAAUGGCUCACCAAGACCGCGAUCCGUAACUGGUCUGAGAGGAUGAUCAGUCACACUGGAACUGAGACACGGUCCAGACUCCUACGGGAAGCAGCAGGGGGGAAUAUUGGACAAUGGGGGGAACCCUGAUCCAGCCAUGCCGCGUGUGUGAAGAAGGUCUUAGGAUUGUAAAGCACUUUAAGUUGGGAGGAAGAGCAGUUAACUAAUAUUUGACUGUUUUGACGUUACCGACAGAAUAAGCACCGGCUAACUUCGUGCCAGCCGCCGCCGUAA
RNAcentral lists this ribosomal RNA (506 nucleotides) under uncultured bacterium. RNAcentral's name for it is "partial 16S ribosomal RNA". It matches the Rfam family "Bacterial small subunit ribosomal RNA", at positions 30 to 523 of the family's 1533-position model. The record is from RNAcentral.